UGCUUGUUUAUGGAUGUACAUUUCCCAAUUUGUGUGUUUAUUACUUAUUUUACAGCAAGAAGUCAUCAAACAGCAAUUAUUACAGCAGCCCGUACCCUGCUGAGGAGUUCCGGGCCACGUGGCCCUCUCAGAACGUAACCCAUAUUCCUCGUGCCACUCUGGCAUCUAGUUCCAGCAUUGAUGCCACUGGCAACAGUCUAGAGAUGGCUGAAGGGCCAGGCAGGAAAGGCCACAGUAAUGGAUUGAAGAUUGGAGGAAAGUCGGGCUCGUAUGACCUCAGAACAGAUGGCAUGAGGACCUUUAAGGACAUAAACCCCACACGGUACUCUUAUCUGAUGGGUCAUGAAAACCCCUACUUCACACAAGGAAAUGAGAAGAGAUGAGGAAAACAGCAGAGAAAUCCAGUGAGAAGUAAGAGGACAAGAAAAGAGUGCAAUAACAACAUGAAUUAUAAAAAGGCCUUGGAUCAAAAUGUUUCAGGAACGUUAACACUGUCAAAACCAAACAGCUGAUCACAGACUCAAAGAAUAUACACAAACGGAAUUUGAGAGAUAAUUAUAUAUAUAUAUAUAUAUAUAUGUGUGUGUGUGUGUGUGUAUUUUACAGUUUUUAUUCCAAAUCUCUUUCACCCAGGAUAAAAUGCUCACUUCCUAAAAGUGCAUUGAUGAUUGGGUUCUUCCACCACAAGCUUGAUAAACAUGUCCUGUGUAUGACAAUGUGUUCUGUGUAUGACAAUGUUAGAUGAACACUCAACCACUCAUCUGUUGAUACAGUAUCUGUAUUUAUUAGUUUAUUUGUUUGUUUGUUUGUUUUGUCACUUCUUAUGUUUUGUCUGCACAUUUUAUAUUCAGAGUUUUUUUAUAUGACAGAGAUCAUGCAUAU
This 882-nucleotide long non-coding RNA is filed under the name Sinocyclocheilus anshuiensis. Its description in RNAcentral is "lncRNA (ENSSANG00000046488.1)". Lineage: Eukaryota; Metazoa; Chordata; Actinopteri; Cypriniformes; Cyprinidae. The record is from RNAcentral.